GGAAAGGUGCCAGAGUGGUUGAAUGGGGCAGUCUCGAAAACUGUUAUAUGAAAAAACAUAUCAAGGGUUCAAAUCCCUUUCUUUCCG
Molecule: transfer RNA, 87 nt
Filed under: Rickettsiales bacterium (ex Bugula neritina AB1)
Lineage: Bacteria; Pseudomonadati; Pseudomonadota; Alphaproteobacteria; Rickettsiales
Description: tRNA-Ser
Rfam family: tRNA
About the family: Transfer RNA (tRNA) molecules are approximately 80 nucleotides in length. Their secondary structure includes four short double-helical elements and three loops (D, anti-codon, and T loops).
Source: RNAcentral